GAGUUUGAUCCUGGCUCAGAGCGAACGCUGGCGGCAGGCUUAACACAUGCAAGUCGAGCGGGCCCUUCGGGGUCAGCGGCGGACGGGUGAGUAACGCGUGGGAACGUGCCUUCUGGUUCGGAAUAACCCUGGGAAACUAGGGCUAAUACCGGAUACGCCCUUUUGGGGAAAGGUUUACUGCCGGAAGAUCGGCCCGCGUCUGAUUAGCUAGUUGGUGGGGUAACGGCCUACCAAGGCGACGAUCAGUAGCUGGUCUGAGAGGAUGAUCAGCCACACUGGGACUGAGACACGGCCCAGACUCCUACGGGAGGCAGCAGUGGGGAAUAUUGGACAAUGGGCGCAAGCCUGAUCCAGCCAUGCCGCGUGAGUGAUGAAGGCCUUAGGGUUGUAAAGCUCUUUUAUCCGGGACGAUAAUGACGGUACCGGAGGAAUAA
RNAcentral lists this ribosomal RNA (434 nucleotides) under uncultured Alphaproteobacteria bacterium. RNAcentral's name for it is "bacterial SSU rRNA". It matches the Rfam family "Bacterial small subunit ribosomal RNA", at positions 9 to 489 of the family's 1533-position model. The record is from RNAcentral. Lineage: Bacteria; Pseudomonadati; Pseudomonadota; Alphaproteobacteria.